AUUGAACGCUGGCGGCAGGCUUAACACAUGCAAGUCGAGCGGGGGAAGGUAGCUUGCUACCGGACCUAGCGGCGGACGGGUGAGUAAUGCUUAGGAAUCUGCCUAUUAGUGGGGGACAACACCUCGAAAGGGAUGCUAAUACCGCAUACGUCCUACGGAAGAAAGCAGGGGAUCUUCGGACCUUGCGCUAAUAGAUGAACCUAAGUCGGAUUAGCUAGUUGGUGGGGUAAAGGCCUACCAAGGCGACGAUCUGUAGCGGGUCUGAGAGGAUGAUCCGCCACACUGGGACGGAGACACGGCCCAGACUCCUACGGGAGGCAGCAGUGGGGAAUAUUGGACAAUGGGGGGAACCCUGAUCCAGCCAUGCCGCGUGUGUGAAGAAGGCCUUAUGGUUGUAAAGCACUUUAAGCGAGGAGGAGGCUACUUUAGUUAAUACCUAGAGAUAGUGGACGUUACUCGCAGAAUAAGCACCGGCUAACUCUGUGCCAGCAGCCGCCGUAA
RNAcentral lists this ribosomal RNA (501 nucleotides) under uncultured bacterium. Its description in RNAcentral is "partial 16S ribosomal RNA". It matches the Rfam family "Bacterial small subunit ribosomal RNA", at positions 30 to 523 of the family's 1533-position model. The record is from RNAcentral.